UACGGGGGGGGCAAGCGUUGUUCGGAAUUACUGGGCGUAAAGGGCUCGUAGGUGGCCAACUAAGUCAGACGUGAAAUCCCUCAGCUUAACUGGGGAACUGCGUCUGAUACUGGAUGGCUUGAGUUUGGGAGAGGGACGCGGAAUUCCAGGUGUAGCGGUGAAAUGCGUAGAUAUCUGGAGGAACAUCAGUGGCGAAGGCGGCUUCCUGGACCAAUACUGACGAUCAGGCGCGAAAGCGUGGGGAGCAAACAGG
This 253-nucleotide ribosomal RNA is filed under the name uncultured bacterium. RNAcentral's name for it is "partial 16S ribosomal RNA". It matches the Rfam family "Bacterial small subunit ribosomal RNA", at positions 524 to 776 of the family's 1533-position model. The record is from RNAcentral.